GCGGUUAAAAAGCUCGUAGUUGGAUUUCUGUUGAGGACGGCCGGUCCGCACUAUGUGCGUGUAUCUGGUUCGGCCUCGGCAUCCUCUCGAAAGCCGUUUCUGCGCUUGAUUGCGUGGUUCGGACUUCGGGACUUUUACUUUGAGGAAAUUAGAGUGUUCACGGCAAGCAAGCGCCUUGAAUAUAUUAGCAUGGAAUAAUAAUAUAGGAUCUUGGUCCUAUUUUGUUGGUUUCUAGGGCUAAGAUAAUGAUUAAUAGGGACAAUUGGGGGCAUUCGUAUUAACGCGUCAGAGGUGGAAUUCUUGGAUUGCGUUACGACGAACUACUGCGAAAGCAUUUGCCAAGGAUGUUUUCAUUGAUCAAGAACGAAAGUAAGGGGAUCGAAGAUGAUUAGAUACCGUCGUAGUCUUUACCAUAAACUAUGCCAACUUGAGAUGGGGCUGCGGUUUAUUUAUGACCCGCUCCGCACCUUAUGAGAAAUCAAAGUUUUUGGGUUCCGGGGGGAGUAUGGUCGCAAGGCUGAAACUUAAAGGAAUUGACGGAAGGGCACCACCAGGAGUGGAGCCUGCGGCUUAAUUUGACUCAACACGGGAAAGCUCACCAGGUCCAGACAUAGUAAGGAUUGACAGAUUGAUAAGCUC
This 639-nucleotide ribosomal RNA is filed under the name uncultured marine eukaryote. Its description in RNAcentral is "SSU rRNA". It matches the Rfam family "Eukaryotic small subunit ribosomal RNA", at positions 615 to 1257 of the family's 1831-position model. The record is from RNAcentral.